GCUGGGUACAGUGGCUCAUGCCUAUAAUCCCAGUGGCUCUGGAGGCUGAGGCAGGAGGAUCGUAAGUUUGAGGCCACCUCAGCAGCUUAGCAAGGCCCUGAUCAAUUCAGUGAGACCCUGUCUCUA
RNAcentral lists this small RNA (126 nucleotides) under Marmota monax (woodchuck). The record is from RNAcentral. Lineage: Eukaryota; Metazoa; Chordata; Mammalia; Rodentia; Sciuridae.